CAAUCGGCUUUUUUUAGAGCCAACAAAUGUGUAAUAAAGAGUUUAU
Molecule: non-coding RNA, 46 nt
Organism: Aedes aegypti (yellow fever mosquito)
Lineage: Eukaryota; Metazoa; Arthropoda; Insecta; Diptera; Culicidae
Source: Rfam